GCCUCGGGCCUCGGAGCCGCCCAGCCAGGGUGGGGACCCAGGGUCGGGACCCAGGCCCGAAUACGCUUGGGAGCUGGGACCGCAGGGGCUCCGGCUGCGGGAGAGGAGCGCGGUGCCACAGGCCCUCCGUGCAACGCGACUCCUCAGACUGGGAGGCGAGGCUUUGGGAGUAAGUCAGGUGUACCUGUUGUCAUCCUGGUCCAGAAACUUGGGAACUCUUCUACAAACAAGUUUUCUAACACAGAAGAAAAGAAAGAAAUAUAAUCCAGCGACACUACAUGGAUCUCAGCUCAUCUUUUGGAAGCACAAGAAGCACAUUGUGGUAAUUAUACUUAUCCAGUGGUCCCAAAUCCUACCCAUUGCUGUGCAUGUAAUACAUAAUCCACAGUAAACAGGACCUGAGAAUAUGACGGGAUAGUAUGUGCUGUGAUGCCAUUAGGUCGUAUAAAACUCCCUCCCUCACUGCCUUUAAAUAAAUGAGCUUCAUGUCAGGAAGGCUGGGUGGCAAGGACCUAGCAGCUGAGGAUGACUCUGGCUGAUAGUCAGCAAAGAAUCAGGUGCCUCAGGCUUGCAAGUGCAAGGAAUCAAAACCUGCCCACAAUCUGAAUGAGCUUCAAAAAGUACUCCCACUUUGAGAGGAGAACACAGCCCCAG
This 654-nucleotide long non-coding RNA is filed under the name Fukomys damarensis (Damara mole-rat). RNAcentral's name for it is "lncRNA (ENSFDAG00000030388.1)". The record is from RNAcentral. Lineage: Eukaryota; Metazoa; Chordata; Mammalia; Rodentia; Bathyergidae.